GACGAACGCUGGCGGCGUGCUUAACACAUGCAAGUCGAACGGAAAGGCCCUGCUUUUGUGGGGUGCUCGAGUGGCAAACGGGUGAGUAACACGUGAGUAACCUGCCCUUGACUUUGGGAUAACUUCAGGAAACUGGGGCUAAUACCGGAUAGGAGCUCCUGCUGCAUGGUGGGGGUUGGAAAGUUUCGGCGGUUGGGGAUGGACUCGCGGCUUAUCAGCUUGUUGGUGGGGUAGUGGCUUACCAAGGCUUUGACGGGUAGCUGGCCUGAGAGGGUGACCGGCCACAUUGGGACUGAGAUACGGCCCAGACUCCUACGGUAGGCAGCAGUGGGGAAUAUUGCACAAUGGGCGGAAGCCUGAUGCAGCAACGCCGCGUGCGGGAUGACGGCCUUCGGGUUGUAAACCGCUUUCGCCUGUGACGAAGCGUGAGUGACGGUAAUGGGUAAAGAAGCACCGGCUAACUACGUG
This 468-nucleotide ribosomal RNA is filed under the name uncultured bacterium. Its description in RNAcentral is "partial 16S ribosomal RNA". It matches the Rfam family "Bacterial small subunit ribosomal RNA", at positions 28 to 507 of the family's 1533-position model. The record is from RNAcentral.